RNAcentral lists this ribosomal RNA (1372 nucleotides) under uncultured bacterium. RNAcentral describes it as "bacterial SSU rRNA". It matches the Rfam family "Bacterial small subunit ribosomal RNA", at positions 28 to 1381 of the family's 1533-position model. The record is from RNAcentral.
GAUGAACGCUGGCGGCGUGCCUAAUACAUGCAAGUCGAGCGAACGGACGAGAAGCUUGCUUCUCUGAUGUUAGCGGCGGACGGGUGAGUAACACGUGGAUAACCUACCUAUAAGACUGGGAUAACUUCGGGAAACCGGAGCUAAUACCGGAUAAUAUUUUGAACCGCAUGGUUCAAAAGUGAAAGACGGUCUUGCUGUCACUUAUAGAUGGAUCCGCGCUGCAUUAGCUAGUUGGUAAGGUAACGGCUUACCAAGGCAACGAUGCAUAGCCGACCUGAGAGGGUGAUCGGCCACACUGGAACUGAGACACGGUCCAGACUCCUACGGGAGGCAGCAGUAGGGAAUCUUCCGCAAUGGGCGAAGGCCUGACGGAGCAACGCCGCUUGAGUGAUGAAGGUCUUCGGAUCGUAAAACUCUGUUAUUAGGGAAGAACAUAUGUGUAAGUAACUGUGCACAUCUUGACGGUACCUAAUCAGAAAGCCACGGCUAACUACGUGCCAGCAGCCGCGGUAAUACGUAGGUGGCAAGCGUUAUCCGGAAUUAUUGGGCGUAAAGCGCGCGUAGGCGGUUUUUUAAGUCUGAUGUGAAAGCCCACGGCUCAACCGUGGAGGGUCAUUGGAAACUGGAAAACUUGAGUGCAGAAGAGGAAAGUGGAAUUCCAUGUGUAGCGGUGAAAUGCGCAGAGAUAUGGAGGAACACCAGUGGCGAAGGCGACUUUCUGGUCUGUAACUGACGCUGAUGUGCGAAAGCGUGGGGAUCAAACAGGAUUAGAUACCCUGGUAGUCCACGCCGUAAACGAUGAGUGCUAAGUGUUAGGGGGUUUCCGCCCCUUAGUGCUGCAGCUAACGCAUUAAGCACUCCGCCUGGGGAGUACGACCGCAAGGUUGAAACUCAAAGGAAUUGACGGGGACCCGCACAAGCGGUGGAGCAUGUGGUUUAAUUCGAAGCAACGCGAAGAACCUUACCAAAUCUUGACAUCCUUUGACAACUCUAGAGAUAGAGCCUUCCCCUUCGGGGGACAAAGUGACAGGUGGUGCAUGGUUGUCGUCAGCUCGUGUCGUGAGAUGUUGGGUUAAGUCCCGCAACGAGCGCAACCCUUAAGCUUAGUUGCCAUCAUUAAGUUGGGCACUCUAAGUUGACUGCCGGUGACAAACCGGAGGAAGGUGGGGAUGACGUCAAAUCAUCAUGCCCCUUAUGAUUUGGGCUACACACGUGCUACAAUGGACAAUACAAAGGGCAGCGAAACCGCGAGGUCAAGCAAAUCCCAUAAAGUUGUUCUCAGUUCGGAUUGUAGUCUGCAACUCGACUACAUGAAGCUGGAAUCGCUAGUAAUCGUAGAUCAGCAUGCUACGGUGAAUACGUUCCCGGGUCU